UAACCUGCCCAAGAGACUGGGAUAACACCUGGAAACAGAUGCUAAUACCGGAUAACAACACUAGACGCAUGUCUAGAGUUUAAAAGAUGGUUCUGCUAUCACUCUUGGAUGGACCUGCGGUGCAUUAGCUAGUUGGUAAGGUAACGGCUUACCAAGGCAAUGAUGCAUAGCCGAGUUGAGAGACUGAUCGGCCACAUUGGGACUGAGACACGGCCCCAACUCCUACGGGAGGCAGCAG
RNAcentral lists this ribosomal RNA (238 nucleotides) under uncultured bacterium. RNAcentral describes it as "partial 16S ribosomal RNA". It matches the Rfam family "Bacterial small subunit ribosomal RNA", at positions 122 to 354 of the family's 1533-position model. The record is from RNAcentral.